AACACAUGCAAGUCGAGGGGUAACAGGGAAGUGCUUGCACUUCUGCUGACGACCGGCGCACGGGUGCGUAACGCGUAUACAAUCUGCCUUGUACUGGGGGAUAGCCUUUAGAAAUGAAGAUUAAUACCCCAUAGUAUAUGACUGUGGCAUCGCAGACAUAUUAAAGGUUACGGUACAAGAUGAGUAUGCGUCCUAUUAGCUAGAUGGUGUGGUAACGGCACACCAUGGCGACGAUAGGUAGGGGCCCUGAGAGGGGGAUCCCCCACACUGGUACUGAGACACGGACCAGACUCCUACGGGAGGCAGCAGUGAGGAAUAUUGGACAAUGGAGGCAACUCUGAUCCAGCCAUGCCGCGUGCGGGAAGACGGCCCUAUGGGUUGUAAACUGCUUUUAUACGGGAAGAAACACCCCCACGUGUGGGGGCUUGACGGUACCGUAAGAAUAAGCACCGGCUAACUCCGUGCCAGCAGCCGCGGUAAUACGGAGGGUGCAAGCGUUAUCCGGAAUCAUUGGGUUUAAAGGGUCCGUAGGCGGACAAUUAAGUCAGAGGUGAAAGUCUGCAGCUCAACUGUAGAAUUGCCUUUGAUACUGGUUGUCUUGAAUUAUUGUGAAGUGGUUAGAAUAAGUAGUGUAGCGGUGAAAUGCAUAGAUAUUACUUAGAAUACCAAUUGCGAAGGCAGAUCACUAACAAUAUAUUGACGCUGAGGGACGAAAGCGUGGGGAGCGAACAGGAUUAGAUACCCUGGUAGUCCACGCCGUAAACGAUGGAUACUAGCUGUUCGAUUUUCGGAUUGAGUGGCUAAGCGAAAGUGAUAAGUAUCCCACCUGGGGAGUACGUUCGCAAGAUGAAACUCAAAGGAAUUGACGGGGGCCCGCACAGCGUGAGCAUGUGUUUAUCGAUGAUACGCGAGACUACAGGCUAAUGUAUGGACAGUCUAGAAUAGACCUCUCGACUCAUACAGUGCUGCAUGUGUCGUCAGCUCUGC
RNAcentral lists this ribosomal RNA (987 nucleotides) under uncultured bacterium. RNAcentral's name for it is "bacterial SSU rRNA". It matches the Rfam family "Bacterial small subunit ribosomal RNA", at positions 50 to 1064 of the family's 1533-position model. The record is from RNAcentral.